Non-coding RNA from Camelina sativa (false flax), 398 nucleotides. NCBI's taxonomy places the organism in Eukaryota, Viridiplantae, Streptophyta, Magnoliopsida, Brassicales, Brassicaceae. The record is from RefSeq and is a predicted model, not a curated record.
GGCCUGCAAACAAAGAAUAUUAGACGUGUGUAAGAGAACACGAAGAGACCUUCUCCUUUGAUCCAAGCUGUAGUAACGGCGAUGAUAUUCCAGAAAAGUGCAAGAACCAACCCUGUUAGACAUGGAAACACACGAGUCCUCACUCUCCAAGUAAGACUAUAUAUACGUACCCAGAUAUGUUGCAAAUGCAAUAUACUGUAGCCUUUGAAGACGAACCGGAAUUUCAUUGGCAAUGUCAUGGUGGAUAAGUGGGAAGAAGGGUGGCCAGUUUUUCGCCUCGAUAACAAUUCCGGCUACAAAGAGAGUACUGCAACUAGUGCUGAAAAGAGGUAGAUGUUCGCCAAAACCAUACUAUAAGAUAAGUACCUCGUGCAGCAGCAUCUUCUUUCCGCUUCACA